GGAAUAUUGGACAAUGGGCGAAAGCCUGAUCCAGCCAUGCCGCGUGUGUGAAGAAGGUCUUCGGAUUGUAAAGCACUUUAAGUUGGGAGGAAGGGCAGUAAGCUAAUACCUUGCUGUUUUGACGUUACCGCCAGAAUAAGCACCGGCUCACUUCGUCCCAGCAGCCGCGGUAAUACGAAGGGUGCAAGCGUUAAUCGGAAUUACUGGGCGUAAAGCGCGCGUAGGUGGUUUGUUAAGUUGGAAGUGAAAGCCCCGGGCUCAACCUGGGAACUGCUUUCAAAACUGGCAAGCUAGAGUAUGGCAGAGGGUUGUGGAAUUUCCUGUGUAGCGGUGAAAUGCGUAGAUAUAGGAAGGAACACCAGUGGCGAAGGCGACCACCUGGGCUAAUACUGACACUGAGGUGCGAAAGCGUGGGGAGCAAACAGG
This 426-nucleotide ribosomal RNA is filed under the name uncultured bacterium. Its description in RNAcentral is "bacterial SSU rRNA". It matches the Rfam family "Bacterial small subunit ribosomal RNA", at positions 358 to 776 of the family's 1533-position model. The record is from RNAcentral.